GUGGCACACCGAUCAAUAGUAUCGGCUCUUUUUUCGUAGAUUCUGAACGAACGAGAAAUUAAAUUUUUUUUACGCCAGUCAUCGGUGUCACGGUACGAUUUUUUCGCGCCUAUAUUUUUAUUACUUUCGAGGUCAUGUAAAAACAACCCCUGCCCCCCUGAAAAUAAAACGCAAAAACGAACCCUCUCUCUGUUCGAGAGGAUUUCGUUUUCGAGAGUUUUCGUCGAGAUUUGUACAGCGUGUGUGCACGGUAGGCGGCAUUCGCAUUAGUUUGUUAUAAUGUUAUCGUUUGGUUAUUAUUUUUAUUCGUACAUUGUGUGUCGCGAACAGUGAUACACGUACCGUAUUAUAUUAUUAACACAACCGUCCGUAUAUAUUAAUAAAAACAAUAAUAAUAAUAAUAACAGAGCCAAGAGCGUUUAGCCGGGCGCACUGAUAUUUUAGCAGCGACAGA
Molecule: non-coding RNA, 454 nt
Organism: Cinara cedri
Lineage: Eukaryota; Metazoa; Arthropoda; Insecta; Hemiptera; Aphididae
Source: the annotation of a GenBank genome assembly